This is a long non-coding RNA of Alexandromys fortis (reed vole), 1441 nucleotides long. RefSeq lists it as uncharacterized. The transcript is spliced from 3 exons. The record is from RefSeq and is a predicted model, not a curated record. Lineage: Eukaryota; Metazoa; Chordata; Mammalia; Rodentia; Cricetidae.
GCAGCCUGGGUGCGCUCGGCAGCCAACGUGAUGGGGCCGGGCGCGGGCGGGCGCGGGCAGGGGCGGGCCGGCCGAGGGAGGAUCUGUGGGUUCUCCUUCCUUCCGAGCGCUUGGUCUGGAGUCGGGCGGGCAGAAGCCGAUGCAGAGUAGAUAGAAGCAGAGUUAAAUUGAGUGGGGGAGGAAACUGGGCUAAGAGCUCAGACUGAGUCCACUGUUCUCCACCUUCAAGACAUUCUGCAAGCAAAGAGGGAACCUGGGUCACCGUGAAGUGAAAAAUAAUCUCAAGAAUCCUUUGCAGUCUCAGUGUGUACCUGAGUGCACUAUCGUGGCUCCGUGUUCUAAGAUAGCUCUCUAGAGAUUAUUACCUCGUUUGACUGAAACUUCACGCUCAUCCGUUUGCAGCUCCUCCUGACCCUCUUUCAACCCCAAGCGCCCUUCAUCCCAUGUCAGAUGGCGUCCAGUCUUAGAUACUUCACGGAUGGGGAGCCAUGCGGUAUUCGUCUUUCCGUUACAGAGUUGUUUUACUGGAUGUUUAGGCCUUUUUCUUCUUCCUCUUUUAUCUGCCGGCGGACCAUUGAAUUGUUUCCUCAGUUCCCGUCUCUCUUCAUACACCAUCACUCUUCCCGUGAGCAUUUGGAAUGAACGCAGCAACGGCUCUUAGAAAAGGCUGGCACACAUUACGUGUUCAGUGACUACCAAUUGCUGUUACUGCCACUGUCACUUCAUCAGCAGUGGAAGGAUAACCUAGCCACUGACCUAAUAAACCGAGGGAUGGAGAAAGUCACCCCUGGAACAGACGACGCUUGCAGACUUUUCUGUUGGCUCAGCCAAACACAUGCUAUCUAUUGUUUCCAUCUGUAGAAUACAUUUAUUGUUAAUUGCCCACAGCAAAUUCACCCUAAUGCCAUCCAGUGCUCUACCUUUAACUGGGGGCACUAAAUAAUAAAGCUGGCUUUUUCUUUCUGAGCACAAGCAUGAGAGAGUGAAGGAAACCUCAUCUCCACGCAGAUGGAUGCACUGUCCAGUGUGCCCGUCUCCUGGAGACUGGUAGAACAGAGUGCCAUGGAGUCACUGAAACUCACCAGGUUUACUAGGUUCCUCCUUCCUCAAACAACGAGGAGUAGCAAGGACUGCCGAGAGACACUCUCAGACCAGCCAUACUGUCCGGAAGAGCUACCUAGAAGCAGGAGACAUCAUCCAAGUUGCCUGGAAAGGGCUCAGACCAAUUUGAGCUACCUGCAAAGGCACUGACUGAAGGUAGUCCAGUGUGCUCCAGGUUUCCAGCUGUUGUCACCCAUGCGGAGGUGAUGCAGCUGUUCUGAGUCAUUUCACCCAGACUCCUGUAUGUAACCCCAAUAAAAUUCACUGGCUCGCCCAGGUGAACGUUUGUAUUACCCUUAUGUUGGUCUGUGAUUAGUUCUAUUUCUGGGGUGAGUAGACA